Diorhabda sublineata is the source of this 3590-nucleotide long non-coding RNA. RefSeq lists it as uncharacterized. The record is from RefSeq and is a predicted model, not a curated record. The transcript has 2 exons. NCBI's taxonomy places the organism in Eukaryota, Metazoa, Arthropoda, Insecta, Coleoptera, Chrysomelidae.
CUUACAUUAUUUAAUAGGAAAUUAUGGUAAAAAUUAUAAUAAAAUAAUCAUUUGUAUAUUACAACAAACAAUUUGCUAUAAUUAUAGAUUCCGAUGUACUUUGUCAUUUUUUUUUGUUUGAUACUGAUAGAUUGACAAUCCAUAGAAUUGUCGUUGGAUGGAGGAAUAUGUACUCAUUAGUGAGCAUCUGUCAGGGUAUAAUUUGGUAACACUUUUGUGAGAUGUAAUCCGAUUAGUGAGUGACCGUUUACAUUGACUAAUAUAUUUUUUUGGUAAGGUUUAAACAAGAAAUUUCAUUAAUUUGUAAUUUUUAUAUUGUCGUUGGAAGGUUCUGGAAAGUAUUAAAGGAGUAAAGAUUUAUAGAUAGGUAAGAUAUUAUUGUUAGAUAUAAUAUUUUCUGUUUUAUGUCAAUAUUAAUAUAAGGAGUAUCAUAUAGAAUUCGUUUCAAAAGAUAUGAGUUUUCAUGGAAAAGUUUGUACAAUUUUUUUCGCUUCGGUCGUUUCUGUCAAAUAUGUCAGCAAAUCGAGGAUAAAAUUUAUCAGUCUGGUGAUUUUUUUUUAGAAAUUCAGAAAACCAGUUUCCUUUUUUUACUUUCAAAUAUUAGCAAUGCAUUUUUAACAAAUCUAUGUUCAGAUCCCGCAUAAAGGAUUAUUAAACGUUUGCCUUUUUAGAUGGAUUUUUCACACCUGUAGACAAUCUUUAAAAAAAUAUGACUUUUAUCUUGAAUAGAUGUAUGUAUCCAUAUUUUAGAAUUUGUAUGACCUUCAUUUAGCCAGAUUUCAUCAAGGUAAUUAGGUAAUUUCUUCUUCAUCUCACAAUAUCGUUGCGUUCUAUCAAAAUACUCUUUCUAUUUCUUUUCAGUUAUUAAAAAAGGAGCUUCCAAUUCAUAUAAAAAUUAGUAUAAUUUGUGGCUUACCUAAAAUUUAUUUCUUUAUAUACUUUAUAUAAUGAUUAACGAGAAAUUUGUGUUAAGUCCGGGCAUUUUUUUAUUUCACCUACAAUUUUAUUCAAAAUUUGUAUUUUAUUUAAAAAAAAAAACUACGAAUAAUGCGUCGAAUUAUAUUUUUUGUUGUAUAAUCGAAGGUUUCUUCAAUUCCUGGAAACCUCCUCGAUGAUUAGAAAAGACAAUUAUACUAGUGUUUCUAUAUUCUUUAAUAAUUCGAAACAGUCGAUCUAGCAACUCCUAGAAAAUAAAAUUUGUAUCUUUUAAUUUAAUUGCCCGAUGUUUUAAAAUUUGAAACACGAUGGCAUUCACCUUUUUUUCUGAUCCAUCAUUUGAUAUUUGUUUAUACUAAUUCAUAAUGUUUUGCUUCACUAUAGCUGAUAAGUGCCCUAAAAUUACAGAUCUCCUUUUUUAGAGGGCGAAUGAUGUCUGCUACUAUUUGAAAUGCUCUCUGAGUCCAUUUUCAAAUCAGUCCUGACGAGAACUGUUUUCAUAUUUUAAUAAAAGAAUACUAAGAGACCAAGAUAGAACAAAAUGAACAUAAUAUAUGUCAAAUGUGCUGUGUAAAACCAGUUGCGAUUUGACCAAUCAAGAAUCUACAGUUUAAAUUUAAGUUUAGUUUAGAAACAGGGUAUAGUUCAACAACACUAAAAAGUAAGACCGCAUACUACAAGAAUGAGGACUGAAAAACUACGCCAGUACCAGAGCCUGCACGCACAUUCUCCAGAUUAUCCUCUCUCUGAUUAUUCUUAGUUUCAAAACCAAAACCUUUUAAGUAUCGCAGUUUUUCGAAAGUCUAUUUAAAAUGCACACCACAGCAGUUGCUUAUGGCGGGCCAUAAUGGACACCACAGCAAUAAAACGUUUCCAAUUUCAAACACUAGCUAUAAAAUAUGAAGGACCAUUUUCUUUUUUUCCUGAAGUGUGGACCAAUUUAAUAUUAGCUGUAUCGAUGAAAUGUAGAAAUAGGACCUGAUACACUAUUGAAAUAACAUGAUGUUAACCUUGGAAUUCUUAUGUAACUUUCUUAAACAAUUCCAUUAACCUUGUGACUAAUAUUGAUAUGCAGAAUUAUCCAUAUUGCCCAUUAAACUUUAAUGAAGUGAAAAAUCUAACCUUUAAAGCAUAUGAGUAAUUAUAAGGUUAAAAAGUAGAUUAAUUAAAUAAUUACACCUUAUUAUUUCUGACUAACCCGAGAAGUGAAAUCUCAUUUGUUUUACUUUCAUAUUUGCCGUUUGAAUUUUGACCUGAAUGUAUAAAUUCCUUGAACAAUCUGUUUGUUAUUAAGAAAUUGGACAAAGUUAUGUCUUCAGUCUUCUUAAUAGUUUGAUAUUUGUCUUACUUUUAUUUUAUAAUGAUAUGACCACAAAGGGAAAUGUCCAUAUUUCACAUUUUUUGAGUAUUAUAUGCAUUUUUAAAAACAAUUGCAUAAAUCAUUAGUAAAUAGCAUAUUGUGCAUAAUUGAACAAAUUUUAAAAGAUGUAGAGCUUUGGCGAGCGUUUCAAGACAAAUAAAUCUGCCAUUCUGGAACGAUUACUUUUAUUGCAGUUCUCAAAAAACUACUCUUAAAGUAGAUAGUCAAAAGGUUCAAUGAAAAUGUAUGGGUAUUCCCAGCCUGAAUUUCAAAAUUAUUCGUUUCAACCCCUUUUAUUUAUUUUAUACUUAUGAAAGAAUAACAUCAAUUUCUGUUUUUUACUGUUGAAGUAUUUCAUUAAUUUUUAUCAGUAAAAAGUCAUUUCUGCUUCAGUAUAGAUUAAUCCAUACAAAGAAAUACUUAUGGAUAUGGGAAAGAAAAGUGGACUGCUCUGGGAAGUUAAAAUAAUACCAUAUGAUAAAAAACUUUCAAAUGGACCAACAUGUGAAAACUUUUGGACAUAUUGCUAAAUUAGAUAAUAUUAAAUUAUCAAAGCUUCACAUAUUUCCUCCAAAAGCAUUGCAAAUUCGAUGUAUCAGCACUACGAAGGAACGACCUUAGUUCCUUAUAUUUGGAGGUAGUCGAGGAAAUUAAAGCUAUAAUUCAGAAUAAACAUUUUUUUUAUGUAUUGAUGAAACCAUCGAUUCUAGAGAACAUUAUUUUACUAAUUUAUUAAUAGCUGUUCUUAGCCACGACAUUCUGCCAAUAUCUUACCAUAAUGCUUCUAAAGAAAAAACAAAUACACUGACAAUGGCCAGAUUUGUAGAAGAGACUCUUUCAACAUUCUUUUUUCCUACGCUUGUUUCUGGAGAUAAUUUUUUUCUCAUUUUAUCAGAUGCAGUACCGUACACGAACAAAGCUGAGUAAAAUUUCAAAAAUUUCCUUUAGACAAAGUUAAUACAUGUUACAUGUCUUGCCCAUGUUUUAAAUAGGGUUGCUGAAGAGAUUACUAAACAAUUUUCUAUUGUAAAUAAUUUGAUAUCUGUCUAAUAGAUUUAUUUAUAUAUUUAUAUAAUUUAUGAAUCUAUUGAUUUUGAUCCUUCAAUAGUGAGCAAUUAUUAAAACGUCCCUAGCCCAUCAGUUAAUAUGGAAAAAAAUGUUACAGAUUCUCAAAUUCAGACAGGAGACAAAAAUUUUUAAUUCCAAACAUUAAGUAGUUUACUGUUUUUAAAACAAUGACAAUUUGUUUUGUCUGUUUAUUUUAAAGAGAAUAAAUAAAUUGAUGUACAUAAGA